GGGUUGUGAGGUUAAGCGACUAAGCGUACACGGUGGAUGCCCUGGCAGUCAGAGGCGAUGAAGGGCGUGCUAAUCUGCGAUAAGCGCCGGUAAGGUGAUAUGAACCGUUAUAACCGGCGAUACCCGAAUGGGGAAACCCAGUGUGAUUCGUCACACUAUCAUUAACUGAAUCCAUAGGUUAAUGAGGCGAACCGGGGGAACUGAAACAUCUAAGUACCCCGAGGAAAAGAAAUCAACCGAGAUUCCCCCAGUAGCGGCGAGCGAACGGGGAGGAGCCCAGAGCCUGAAUCAGCAUGUGUGUUAGUGGAAGCGUCUGGAAAGGCGCGCGAUACAGGGUGACAGCCCCGUACACAAAAGCGCAUGUGCUGUGAGCUCGAUGAGUAGGGCGGGACACGUGGUAUCCUGUCUGAAUAUGGGGGGACCAUCCUCCAAGGCUAAAUACUCCUGACUGACCGAUAGUGAACCAGUACCGUGAGGGAAAGGCGAAAAGAACCCCGGCGAGGGGAGUGAAAAAGAACCUGAAACCGUGUACGUACAAGCAGUGGGAGCNNNNNNNNNNNNNNNNNNNNNNNNNNNNNNNNNNNNNNNNNNNNNNNNNNNNNGGCGUUAAGUUGCAGGGUAUAGACCCGAAACCCGGUGAUCUAGCCAUGGGCAGGUUGAAGGUUGGGUAACACUAACUGGAGGACCGAACCGACUAAUGUUGAAAAAUUAGCGGAUGACCUGUGGCUGGGGGUGAAAGGCCAAUCAAACCGGGAGAUAGCUGGUUCUCCCCGAAAGCUAUUUAGGUAGCGCCUCGUGAAUUCAUCUCCGGGGGUAGAGCACUGUUUCGGCUAGGGGGCCAUCCCGGCUUACCAACCCGAUGCAAACUGCGAAUACCGGAGAAUGUUAUCACGGGAGACACACGGCGGGUGCUAACGUCCGUCGUGAAGAGGGAAACAACCCAGACCGCCAGCUAAGGUCCCAAAGUCAUGGUUAAGUGGGAAACGAUGUGGGAAGGCCCAGACAGCCAGGAUGUUGGCUUAGAAGCAGCCAUCAUUUAAAGAAAGCGUAAUAGCUCACUGGUCGAGUCGGCCUGCGCGGAAGAUGUAACGGGGCUAAACCAUGCACCGAAGCUGCGGCAGCGACACUGUGUGUUGUUGGGUAGGGGAGCGUUCUGUAAGCCUGCGAAGGUGGCCUGUGAGGGUUGCUGGAGGUAUCAGAAGUGCGAAUGCUGACAUAAGUAACGAUAAAGCGGGUGAAAAGCCCGCUCGCCGGAAGACCAAGGGUUCCUGUCCAACGUUAAUCGGGGCAGGGUGAGUCGACCCCUAAGGCGAGGCCGAAAGGCGUAGUCGAUGGGAAACGGGUUAAUAUUCCCGUACUUGGUGUUACUGCGAAGGGGGGACGGAGAAGGCUAUGUUGGCCGGGCGACGGUUGUCCCGGUUUAAGCGUGUAGGUGUGUGUUCCAGGUAAAUCCGGUUCACUUUAACACUGAGGCGUGACGACGAGGCACUACGGUGCUGAAGCAACAAAUGCCCUGCUUCCAGGAAAAGCCUCUAAGCAUCAGGUAACAUCAAAUCGUACCCCAAACCGACACAGGUGGUCAGGUAGAGAAUACCAAGGCGCUUGAGAGAACUCGGGUGAAGGAACUAGGCAAAAUGGUGCCGUAACUUCGGGAGAAGGCACGCUGACACGUAGGUGAAGUGAUUUACUCAUGGAGCUGAAGUCAGUCGAAGAUACCAGCUGGCUGCAACUGUUUAUUAAAAACACAGCACUGUGCAAACACGAAAGUGGACGUAUACGGUGUGACGCCUGCCCGGUGCCGGAAGGUUAAUUGAUGGGGUCAGCGCAAGCGAAGCUCCUGAUCGAAGCCCCGGUAAACGGCGGCCGUAACUAUAACGGUCCUAAGGUAGCGAAAUUCCUUGUCGGGUAAGUUCCGACCUGCACGAAUGGCGUAAUGAUGGCCAGGCUGUCUCCACCCGAGACUCAGUGAAAUUGAACUCGCUGUGAAGAUGCAGUGUACCCGCGGCAAGACGGAAAGACCCCGUGAACCUUUACUAUAGCUUGACACUGAACAUUGAGCCUUGAUGUGUAGGAUAGGUGGGAGGCUUUGAAGUGUGGACGCCAGUCUGCAUGGAGCCGACCUUGAAAUACCACCCUUUAAUGUUUGAUGUUCUAACGUGGACCCGUUACCCGGGUUGCGGACAGUGUCUGGUGGGUAGUUUGACUGGGGCGGUCUCCUCCUAAAGAGUAACGGAGGAGCACGAAGGUUGGCUAAUCCUGGUCGGACAUCAGGAGGUUAGUGCAAUGGCAUAAGCCAGCUUGACUGCGAGCGUGACGGCGCGAGCAGGUGCGAAAGCAGGUCAUAGUGAUCCGGUGGUUCUGAAUGGAAGGGCCAUCGCUCAACGGAUAAAAGGUACUCCGGGGAUAACAGGCUGAUACCGCCCAAGAGUUCAUAUCGACGGCGGUGUUUGGCACCUCGAUGUCGGCUCAUCACAUCCUGGGGCUGAAGUAGGUCCCAAGGGUAUGGCUGUUCGCCAUUUAAAGUGGUACGCGAGCUGGGUUUAGAACGUCGUGAGACAGUUCGGUCCCUAUCUGCCGUGGGCGCUGGAGAACUGAGGGGGGCUGCUCCUAGUACGAGAGGACCGGAGUGGACGCAUCACUGGUGUUCGGGUUGUCAUGCCAAUGGCACUGCCCGGUAGCUAAAUGCGGAAGAGAUAAGUGCUGAAAGCAUCUAAGCACGAAACUUGCCCCGAGAUGAGUUCUCCCUGAGACUUAGAGUCUCCUGAAGGAACGUUGAAGACGACGACGUUGAUAGGCCGGGUGUGUAAGCGCAGCGAUGCGUUGAGCUAACCGGUACUAAUGAACCGUGAGGCUUAACCUUACAACGCCGAAG
RNAcentral lists this ribosomal RNA (2872 nucleotides) under Salmonella enterica subsp. enterica serovar Enteritidis. RNAcentral describes it as "bacterial LSU rRNA". It matches the Rfam family "Bacterial large subunit ribosomal RNA". Lineage: Bacteria; Pseudomonadati; Pseudomonadota; Gammaproteobacteria; Enterobacterales; Enterobacteriaceae. The record is from RNAcentral.